UUGUUUUUUGGACAGGUUCAGAUCUGGCAUUGGAAGCAGAUCAAAAAACGGAAGAGCAAAUGUGGGAGUGUGCUCUUGAGAGAAAACGGAAAGAAAAGCCGGCAGAGGAAAUUCUACUAGAGGAAGGACGGAUCCAUCUGGAGUGUGACAAAAGGAUGUUGUUGAAAGAGGAGAGAGAAUGUAUGUUGGAGAAAUGGCAGCAGGAACUUGAGUGUCGAGAAAGAGAGAUGGAAAGUUGGGUAAAACAAGAGCUGAAGCGAGAGCAGACUCAAAGGGAGUUGGAAAGCAAGAUUGCGGAGAUGAUGGAGGAAGAAUGGAAGAAAUUAAAAUGCCAAAAAGAGAUGAUAGAAAGGAAGGAACAGCAAAUGCGGGAAGACAUGAAAUGUGUUAAACAAAAGUUGGUAAAGAUAAAUGGAAGGCAGGAGGCACGAGAACAAAAGCAAGAAAAUUGGGCACAGGAGGUGAUAAAGGAUUUGGAAAUGGUGGAAGAAAAAAUGAGGAAAGAAGCUGCAAGGCAACAGGAUCUGUGGACUGAGCUGCAAAAGCAGCAGAAUUCAUUGCAGUUUCAAGAAAUGUUAUUGGAGGAACAGCGGAUGGAAAUGGAUGAGCAAAAGCGCAAUGAAAGAAUAAGGCUUCAGAACGAGCAGGCCGCCAUGGAAAAGUCACCCACGAAGAAGAAGAAGAAGGUGUCAUGUUUGAGAAAGUUUUUCACUUUGCUCUUUGGAAGACAUCGUUCUCCUUGUUCUUCUCAAGAAAACGAAUGCACAGGGGAAGAUCAACUAAGGAAUUGCGAAGAGACAGAGAGCGUGGCACAUGUGGAGCCACAGAAAAAGGCAAAGAAGUCUAAAGGCAACAGUUUCUUCAACAUAUUUAGAAGAAAUAGAAACAAGCAGUGAUUCAGGUACGGUUCAUAUGGACAUUCAUUUACAGCUGAGGUUGUUGUUCAGAAUUGGUUUGAAAGAUAAGAACAUAAGUGGAUAUUUAUUUGUGGCAAAUUCCAGAGCAC
Molecule: long non-coding RNA, 1006 nt
Filed under: Eptatretus burgeri (inshore hagfish)
Lineage: Eukaryota; Metazoa; Chordata; Myxini; Myxiniformes; Myxinidae
Description: lncRNA (ENSEBUG00000017427.1)
Source: RNAcentral